GGAUAAAUAUGUCGGUCGUGCCAUCGGUACGUACUGGUAUCAUUGGUUUCUCCUUUCUGACGAACCAUGAUGCCAUUAAUUUGGUGUUAUGGGAAGUUAGGACUGUUACUUUGAAAAAAUUAGAGUGUUUAAAGCAGGCAUUAGCUUGAACACAUUAGUAUGGAAUAAUGAAAUAGGACGUUCGAACCUAUUUUGUUGGUUUCUAGGAUCAACGUA
Molecule: ribosomal RNA, 216 nt
Filed under: Glomus sp.
Lineage: Eukaryota; Fungi; Glomeromycota; Glomeromycetes; Glomerales; Glomeraceae
Description: partial small subunit ribosomal RNA
Rfam family: Eukaryotic small subunit ribosomal RNA (bases 38-216)
Source: RNAcentral